This 1755-nucleotide unclassified non-coding RNA is filed under the name Hevea brasiliensis (rubber tree). The record is from RNAcentral. Lineage: Eukaryota; Viridiplantae; Streptophyta; Magnoliopsida; Malpighiales; Euphorbiaceae.
CUUAAACACAACCAUAUCCUGGUUCCACAUAAAUAUUAGUUUGAAGCAAGCCUGAGAAGCGCACCAGAGAACUCAUCAACCAUUUGAAUACUUAUUUUUCCCGUGUACAUGGGUUUGCAUAUUGUGCGAGCUUGCCGCAAAGGAAUUCAAAACAGUUGAGACAAGCAUGAAGGUGAAGGGAUACACAAACAUAACCCAAUACAGAAUGAACCUUGCCACUGUUCAUUAUGGUGAUCAGAAGGAAGAUGAAUGUUAGGUUUGAAAGGAUACUGCACUUGUGACUUUUGAUUUGAGGUCAUACACAAUAAGGUCAUCCACUAUAAGUUGAGUGUUGUAGCUCUUUAGUUGUAAUAGUAUUUGCUAACAGUAAUUAUUAUAAUAAUAAAGGUGUACUAUGAAGCUAUAAAGUGGUCAAAAUCAAGUCUAUCAACCUCAUGUAAUACAGGUCAUAUAGACACUUAAACCGUCAAAGAAUUUUGAGGACUUCUAUUUGAACAGUUCAUAGGAAGCUUGAGAUCAACAACAAUAAAUAGUUUAUCUCAACAACAAUAAAUAUUCUCUUCAACUCUGCUUCAAUCUUAAUGUUGUUGAGUCAGCCUCCAUUCUACUCAAUUAUCAUCACAUUCUAAAUCCUUCCUAAGUAUUUCACCCCAUGUCAGCUAUAUACCUCCUGUUGUCUUCACUCCAAUAACUUGAAUGUCUUGUAUUGAUGGAUCCACAUUUGUUAAGGGCGCGCCCCAGGCGUGCCUAAGGUGCAAGGCAACGCAGGCUCUUGGCUCAAUGCCUUGAAGCUCUCCAGGCGGGCGGUCUUCCUAAGGUGAGCCCAAGUGGCCGAGGCGCACCAAGGCGCAAGGCACACCCCAACCACACCAGGCUCAGAAAUUCUAUUUUCUUUAGACCAUCGGACAAAAAAAAAAGAGAAGAAGAAGAAGGAGGAGGAGGAGGAGAUAAUGUUGAGCAACAAUCAAGAGGCUCUGAUUUGGAAUGAGACAUCACCAAUAAUAUGCUAGUUCAAUCAUACAAGACUCACAGAUCCCACAAAAUAUUGAACACAAAAUUAUAAAUCCCAGAUUAGAAAUGCAAGUUUCCACAGAGGACUCAGAUAAUAAAUGAAGCUCAAUAGCUUUGCAGUGUUGGAUGGUACAAAGAUCGGAGAGAGAAUUACCAAGAAGUCAACAAUGCAAGUGUUUGACGAAGACCCAAAUGAGAAAAAAGUGCAAGAAAAUAGCCAGAGAAAAUGAGAAAAUAGCAAAAAUAAAAUACCCAAAUGGGAGAUAAUCUUGAAACUUUCUUCGCUUAAGGCCAAAGAAAAUGAAGUAUCAUAUGAACAAACACAAGCCAAUGGAAAAGGGAAGCUGAGAAAGAAAUGGAAAUGUGCUUUUAAGUGCCUGGAAGAGAGAGAUCACAAGUUCAGGAAGGUAAGGUAGGUGAAAGAUGAUUCACUUGAAGUAUUUCAAGAAAAAAAAAAUCUUGACUAAAAAAAUAAACAUCAUCAGGCGUAAAAAAAAAAUUAAAAAUAAGAAAAUAGAAAAUCUGAACAAUUUAUAUAAAAGAACAAAAGAAAGUAGACAGUGGGAUAAAUGCAAACAGACGAAGAAAACAUCCGGGCGCUUGAUGCUCUGUUCGCACGCAAAAUUCCCUUCUUUUUUUAACUAAAAAUUAUGGAUUAUCACUAUUAUUAUUGAGAGGGAAACAAAUAAAUUGCUGCUUUUUAGUUCAUGUGGAGGCUGCUGGAUUUCUGCAGCAAAAAGUUGC